GUCCUCCCCUUUUGCUCAUAAGUAAGCUCUUCUCCACGGCGUAUUUUUACUCUUACCUUCCUUUCUUUCAUUCGCUUUCUUGUUUUUGGCUCAAGCAGUAGGUCCUUCGACCCUCAAAGCAAUACGGUAUGCUCCUUCUAUGCUGUCCAGAAAAGACAAAUGCAAUUCAUUCAGCUCGAAUAUUGCCUUUUGUCUUCCUCCUUCACUCUACAUCGUAGAGACAAUAGGUUAAACUCCUUCAUGUACUUUCUCAUAGAAAUUUUGGAAAAACCUUGUUUCAGAUUCUUAAACUUAUUUAUGAAUUCCGCUUCGACAUCACCUGGUAGAAAUUAAUCCUUAAACUUCAGAACUUCUUGUUCUUCGUAGCGCUUCUCCUCCAGCUCCCUCUUCUGUCGUACAUGUGCUCACCAUAAACCUGCCUUUUUGUUUUCUUCAACUUCGUGGUAAUGAAAUGUACCCGCUCCGGGUCCGAAAUCUCUUUUAGUUCGAAAUACUGGUCCAUCGCGAUUAACCAGUCUAAGACCACGUCACGGAGGGGUCUCGGCUUCCAGAAAAAAAAGUUAGUAACUUCUACGCUAGUCUUCACAAUUACUCCACUUCCCUAAUUAUCUGUGCUUCUCCUCCUCCUUCCCUUCCUUGCUUCGAGGAGGUUAUAUAAUAGUAACAGAAGGAGACAGGUAUAGAAUAGAAGUCCGCCCCAGUCACUAAACCUAGCUCACCAAGCCUUAGGAGUGCUCCGCCGUGGGCUUGUAGCGACGGAAUCUUGUUUCCGAUAGAGCACCAUUGAUUGGUCUAUUGGCAAAGGAAACCCGGGAAUUCAAGAUUUUGUUCUGUCCUCCGGACAUUUAUUAUGCUG
RNAcentral lists this long non-coding RNA (856 nucleotides) under Solanum pimpinellifolium. RNAcentral's name for it is "long non-coding RNA (SPIM_LNC000172)". Lineage: Eukaryota; Viridiplantae; Streptophyta; Magnoliopsida; Solanales; Solanaceae. The record is from RNAcentral.